GAGCCCGUGCCUUCCGGCAUCCCUCCCGUUCCGAUGCAGCACAUCGGCCUCACAAUGAAUACAUUUUUUGCCUUCGAGCCCGGGACUAACCCUCCCCGGAGCUCAAGCCUAAAUGUCAGCGGCCACAACUCUUCCUGCCCUCGUCCCUCGCCCAUGGAGGGCAAGGAUGUGAGGUGGGGAACGACCGCUGAGCAAGGCGAACGCGCUUACCUGGAAAGUAAAAGUCAGAAGACGACAGAGACCGCGAGCUCCAAGGAACGGGGAGAACAGAGAGACUGCGGCGCGGGAAGACGCCUGAUAAAGCGGACUCUACAUUGUUCACCUAGAAUGAAUUUGUUCAACAUUGUAAAGGCCUGUUCCCCACUCCCCCAGCAGCCCCACCACAAAUAGAUUUGCUAACCUUUAGAUGUUAUUCAUCUACAAUUCCUGACUGAGCUUUCUGUGACAUGUUCGCUGGUUUAUCAAGAGCAGUCCUGUAGAGGGGACUAAAGUGGCACAGAACUGUGAUAUACUGACAAGAGGUACAGGAGCAGGCCUUCCUAGAAGUGGAUCCACACCUACUGUGUAGGCUGACACAUCCAGGUGCUGGAUGCACCUGGAUGGAUGGUAUAUGAAUGCUAUGAAUCAGAGUCACCUAGCUAGGCCAAUCCCAGAACCCUGGCCCUCUAAAACCACAGAUGUUUGUUUUGUCUCGAGACAAGGUCUGACUUUGUAACUCAAUUUGUGAAUUGGCGCUUAGUUCCCUGGCCCCUUGAGCCUCACAUAGGCUAGAACAAAAUGCAUGCAGCAGCAUGCCUAAUAUACUCAUUAAGCUUUGUGCCAAUUUGAUAUCAAUAGAUACCUAAUACAUCUUCCCAGCAAA
RNAcentral lists this long non-coding RNA (862 nucleotides) under Mus pahari (shrew mouse). RNAcentral's name for it is "lncRNA (MGP_PahariEiJ_G0004001.1)". Lineage: Eukaryota; Metazoa; Chordata; Mammalia; Rodentia; Muridae. The record is from RNAcentral.